RNAcentral lists this ribosomal RNA (423 nucleotides) under uncultured bacterium. RNAcentral describes it as "bacterial SSU rRNA". It matches the Rfam family "Bacterial small subunit ribosomal RNA", at positions 362 to 777 of the family's 1533-position model. The record is from RNAcentral.
UAUUGCGCAAUGGGCGAAAGCCUGACGCAGCGACGCCGCGUGAGGGAUGAAGGUCUUCGGAUCGUAAACCUCUGUCAGCAGGGAAGAACGGUCACUGUGCUAAUCAGCAGUGAAUUGACGGUACCUGCAAAGGAAGCACCGGCUAACUCCGUGCAAGAAGCAGCGGUAAUACGGAGGGCGCGAGCGUUAAUCGGAAUUACUGGGCGUCAAGCGCGCGUAGGCUGUUGUGUAAGUUGGGGGUGAAAUCCCACGGCUCAACCGUGGAACAGCCCUUGAUACUGCGCGACUUGAAUCCGGGAGAGGGUGGCGGAAUUCCAGGUGUAGGAGUGAAAUCCGUAGAUAUCUGGAGGAACAUCAGUGGCGAAGGCGGCCACCUGGACCGGUAUUGACGCUGAGGCGCGAAAGCGUGGGGAGCAAACAGGA